CUGAGAAAUACAGAGAGAGUUUUGUGGAGCCGAUAGUCUAAAGUCUAAAUAGCUUUGUAGUAACUCAUUUGGCAACGGCUAGAAUGUAACGGAGGUUCAUUAAUAUCAACGUUACGCACUAAAGCUUUAACACAAAACAUAUUCAGUUUA
Sander lucioperca (pikeperch) is the source of this 150-nucleotide long non-coding RNA. RefSeq lists it as uncharacterized. Lineage: Eukaryota; Metazoa; Chordata; Actinopteri; Perciformes; Percidae. The record is from RefSeq and is a predicted model, not a curated record. The transcript has 4 exons.